RNAcentral lists this microRNA precursor (193 nucleotides) under Glycine max (soybean). Its description in RNAcentral is "pre miRNA MIR530". The record is from RNAcentral. Lineage: Eukaryota; Viridiplantae; Streptophyta; Magnoliopsida; Fabales; Fabaceae.
ACCCACACAGCCAUAUGAUGCACCCUCUCCACUAGAUUUUUUUCUUCUUCUUUCUCUGGAAAUAAACUCCUGCAGCGGUGAGCAGCGGCAAGUUUUUUUUCUGGUGCAGGACAAAAAACAGUAAAGGAGGAGGAAGAGGAUGAAAGAAGAAAAAAAAUCUAGUGGAGAAGGUGCAUCAUAUGGCUGUGUGGGU